UUAUCGAGCAAGCUGGCCCAGCUCACGUGCCAUGGCAAUCUCUGCCACAGCUUCCAGUCCUUCAACACCUCCUACACAGACACAGGAUUGUGGGGGCUCUAUAUGGUUUGUGAACAAGCCACAGUUGCUGACAUGCUGCACGCUGUACAAAAGGAAUGGAUGCGUCUGUGCACAGCUGUUAGUGAGAGUGAGGUCGCACGCGCCAAAAACCUUCUCAAGACAAACAUGCUGCUGCAGCUUGAUGGUAAGAGGUGAGGCGGGCUGCGGGGAGCUGCAGUGUCUGUGUGGAUGCUAGAUAUCCUUCCUUCUCUACAGGGUCAACUCCGAUCUGUGAAGACAUCGGUAGGCAGAUGCUAUGCUACAACAGGAGAAUCCCCAUCCCUGAGCUUGAGGCCAGGAUCGAUGUAAGUACUAAGCUUUGGGUGCUGCAAAGGCUGAGCGAGGUUCCCAGUCUAGACUCAGUUCAGGAAAGUCACGUAUGUGGGAUCCGUCCUCACUACACAAGUCCUGAUGACGGUAUCAUCUCCAUUGAAGGCUGUGGACGCGGAGAUGGUUCGAGAAGUGUGCACCAAGUACAUUUAUGGCAAAAGCCCGGCCAUUGCUGCUCUCGGUCCUAUUGAGCGCUUACCAGAUUUUAACCAGAUUUGUAGUAACAUGCGCUGGACUCGUGACUGAUUUUUGUGAUGAAUUAUCCUACACAUACAUAUUUAUAAAACUGAGACCUAGAAGUUUUGAAAGACUGCUCAUCUUCAAGUGAAAAAAUAAAAACUUUAUUUGAAA
This 780-nucleotide long non-coding RNA is filed under the name Rattus norvegicus (Norway rat). RNAcentral's name for it is "long non-coding RNA NONRATT021128". The record is from RNAcentral. Lineage: Eukaryota; Metazoa; Chordata; Mammalia; Rodentia; Muridae.